RNAcentral lists this transfer RNA (69 nucleotides) under Escherichia coli. RNAcentral describes it as "tRNA-Ser". It matches the Rfam family "tRNA". Rfam says of the family: Transfer RNA (tRNA) molecules are approximately 80 nucleotides in length. Lineage: Bacteria; Pseudomonadati; Pseudomonadota; Gammaproteobacteria; Enterobacterales; Enterobacteriaceae. The record is from RNAcentral.
GGAGAGAUGCCGGAGCGGCUGAACGGACCGGUCUCGAAAACCGGAGUNNAAAUCCCCCUCUCUCCGCCA